Molecule: transfer RNA, 82 nt
Filed under: Ixodes scapularis (black-legged tick)
Lineage: Eukaryota; Metazoa; Arthropoda; Arachnida; Ixodida; Ixodidae
Rfam family: tRNA
About the family: Transfer RNA (tRNA) molecules are approximately 80 nucleotides in length.
Source: Rfam by way of RNAcentral
GCAGUUGUGGCCGAGUGGCUAAGGCGAUGGACUAGAAAUCCAUUGGGGUCUCCCCGCACAUUUUCGAAUCCUCUCGACUGCG